CGGCAGCACAGAGAAACUUGUUUCUCGGGUGGCGAGCGGCGGACGGGUGAGUAAUGCCUGGGAAAUUGCCCUGAUGUGGGGGAUAACCAUUGGAAACGAUGGCUAAUACCGCAUGAUAGCUUCGGCUCAAAGAGGGGGACCUUCGGGCCUCUCGCGUCAGGAUAUGCCCAGGUGGGAUUAGCUAGUUGGUGAGGUAAUGGCUCACCAAGGCGACGAUCCCUAGCUGGUCUGAGAGGAUGAUCAGCCACACUGGAACUGAGACACGGUCCAGACUCCUACGGGAGGCAGCAGUGGGGAAUAUUGCACAAUGGGCGCAAGCCUGAUGCAGCCAUGCCGCGUGUGUGAAGAAGGCCUUCGGGUUGUAAAGCACUUUCAGUCGUGAGGAAGGUGGUAGUGUUAAUAGCACUAUCAUUUGACGUUAGCGACAGAAGAAGCACCGGCUAACUCCGUGCCAGCAGCCGCGGUAAUACGGAGGGUGCGAGCGUUAAUCGGAAUUACUGGGCGUAAAGCGCGUGCAGGUGGUUUGUUAAGUCAGAUGUGAAAGCCCGGGGCUCAACCUCGGAAUAGCAUUUGAAACUGGCAAGCUAGAGUACUGUAGAGGGGGGUAGAAUUUCAGGUGU
RNAcentral lists this ribosomal RNA (620 nucleotides) under uncultured bacterium. Its description in RNAcentral is "bacterial SSU rRNA". It matches the Rfam family "Bacterial small subunit ribosomal RNA", at positions 67 to 676 of the family's 1533-position model. The record is from RNAcentral.